This is an RNA transcript of Elgaria multicarinata webbii, 2654 nucleotides long. It is a transcript of the gene named sirtuin 4, with no coding region annotated. NCBI's taxonomy places the organism in Eukaryota, Metazoa, Chordata, Lepidosauria, Squamata, Anguidae. The record is from RefSeq and is a predicted model, not a curated record. The transcript is spliced from 4 exons.
CCUUCUCUUCUUCUCUUCUCCCCUAGAUGAGCAUGGCCUCUGCCCUGAAGGCCUUGCAAGCCUGCUCAGCCGCUGGGCCUGCCUGCUGCGGCUCCCACUCCUCUGCAGCCAAGGCCGCUCGGACGCUGCCCUUUGUCCCGGCCAGCCCUCCCCUGGACCCCGCGGAAGUCCAGAAGCUGCAAGCCUUCGUUUUGCGCUCCCGGAGGCUCUUCGUGAUGACCGGGGCGGGGAUCUCCACCGAAUCCGGCAUCCCAGACUACCGCUCCGAAGGCGUGGGCCUUUACGCCCGGACAGACCGGCGGCCCGUCCAGCACGCCGAGUUCCUCCGCAGCGCCAUGGCCCGCCAGCGCUACUGGGCCAGGAGCUUCGUGGGCUGGCCUCUCUUCUCGGCCCAUCGGCCCAACGUGGCGCACCUGGCGCUGAAGGACUGGGAGGCGCUGGGGAAGCUGCACUGGCUGGUGACCCAGAACGUGGACGCCCUCCACACCAAAGCCAGCAGCCAGCGCCUGAUGGAGCUGCACGGCUGCACCCACAGGGUCUUGUGCCUCAGCUGUGGAGACCAGACGUCCCGUGCUGAACUCCAGGCGCAUUUCACGGCCCUGAACCCUACGUGGACAGCCGAGGCUUGUGGGGUGAACCCCGAUGGAGAUGUCUUCCUGUCAGAUGAACAGGUGCGCAGUUUUUGCGUGCCCCCCUGCAGCAAAUGUGGCGGCCCCCUCAAGCCGGACGUGACGUUCUUCGGGGACACUGUGAGCAAAGAGAAAGUGGACUUUGUCUACCAACGCCUGGCUGAAUCGGACUCCGUCCUCGUGGCGGGGUCUUCGCUGCAGGUUCCCAUGGACACGGGGGCCAUUCAGGAAGCUGUUUCAACGACAAAACUAGCGAGAGGCACCACUGCCAGUCUUCUGAGGACAGCAACCUGCCUGCCUCUUCUUCAUUCUAACACAGCUUCCAAACUGCUUCCUUCCUAUAUAAACCUCUUGGGUUCCAUCAAUGGCCAGUUCUGGUUUUCUGCUCUAUUGUUGGUGCAGCGGUUUGCUCAUCCAGCAUCACAGAUGGUUAUUCGUUGGUUGAAGAUCCCAAGAUCUCCCCCAGUUGGGGACAGGCAGAUCUUUCGAUCUCGGUCUCACCAGGAGUGUCAGGGGUUUUAGGUCAAGUUUGUUUCAUCUACCUUGUAAGAUAGAUAGAUAAUUUAAAUCUGUUGUGGAAGUCAUACUUUUUUUCCUUUGCAUUUUUCAUAAUGUAUGCAUUAAUUAAAUGCAUUUUUGUGUGCAUUUUUUAACAUACACAUUUUUCCCAAGGACAUUACAUUGCUGAAGGAAAGAACCGGGGUGAUUGUAGGGCUGAGAUGCCCCGUUGGCUUAAAUGGGACUGAAGCUGCGUGUCGCAUUGCUGUCUGGAACGGCAGACUAAUUUGUAUAAAACGGUGACCCUUAAAGGGCAGCACUGCGCCCCUCUGAGGUCUGCGCCCUGGGCAGCUGCCUAGGUGGGCUAAUGGUAGCGCCGGCCCUGUCUGCACAUCUGCUUAAGGAUGUAAGAAGCACUUUGCAGGAUCAGACCCUGGUCCAUGUAGUCCAACUUUCUUGGCAAGAAUCCCCACAGCCAGCAGGCAAGUGUCCCUGACCUAGACACACUGGAACAGAUCCAGCAGAGACAGUCACCGGAACAGAAGACAAAGCCUUUGAGGACAGGUUGGAGGCGCUGGGUGUGUUUAGCUUCGAGAAAUGAAAACCGGGGUGGGGGGGCAGGAUAGCCCUCUCCAAAUCCCUGGAGGGCUGACACAGAGCAGGGUGCACACAGGCAUGUUCUCUGCUGCCCCAGACAGCAGAAUGGGCUUAAAUGUUCCAGGAGGGCAGAUUCUGGCUGAACAUUAGGAGAAACCUGACGCUAAGAGCGGUUUGACAAGGAGCCGGGGUGAGGGUGGGUCUCCUCACUGGGAGUCUUCAGACAGACAUCUCUUAGAUGUCUUGGACUUCAACUCCCAGAAGACCCUGCCAGCAUAGCCAAUGGUCAGGAAUUCUGGGAGGAGGAGUCCAAAACAUCUGCAGAUCUACUUUUUGCCCACCUCUGGCCCAUGGAAGCUACAUCAGUUCUAUGAUACAAUGAAAUAAAUUUUAAAAUAUACCAGCCUCCACCCCUCAGUAGGCCAUCUACCACCCUCCCCUGAACUCCUGCUCACUGCUGGAAAUCCCCAGCAGAUGUCUCUCCAACCUUUGCUUUAUGACCCCUGUUGGGGAGGAGCCCCUCCCCAACCCUGCCAGGUCACUGGUUCCUUGUCGAACUGCCUUUCCCAUUUAAAAAUGGGCAAUAGCGUGAUUUUACUCCCCUUCAAAAUUCCUGUAAAGGGGCCGUUUAUGGUGUUCCCUAACCAGCACAUUGCUUUGUGUACAGUUUGAAGGCAGGGGACUUUAGCAGCCGGAGAGACAGGUAGAUGCCUUGCCCUUCUGCCUGCUGUGGGGCACCCCCCUCAAGGAAAUGGAGUGGACAAACCCCUCCCAUAGGGUGCUCAGGGGGGGCACCAUGGCAAGGGCCAUGCCCAGGGGUCCCAGUGGACGCGGCUUCACUCAGACAGGGGGGGCACAAUAUGACCGACUCCAACACCUGCGUAAUUUUGCUUGAAGUGUUCACUGUAUCAAACUGAGGGCUAUUCCAAC